Molecule: long non-coding RNA, 637 nt
Filed under: Nicotiana benthamiana
Lineage: Eukaryota; Viridiplantae; Streptophyta; Magnoliopsida; Solanales; Solanaceae
Description: long non-coding RNA (NBEN_LNC026429)
Source: RNAcentral
UAAGUUGGUGUCAGAAGCUUAUACAGAAUAGCUAUGAACAACUUGGUUCAAGAAAAGGUAUACACAAGAAGGUAUAUGUUACAAUCAACUUGUUUCAAGAUAAAGUACAACAAAUGCACAAACAUAAAAUCACAUAUAAUAUCUGAAUCUGUGACAUCUUACAUGUAUUAAUUUUUCAUUUGCUUUUGAACUGGAAAUUAUUUAUCAUUUGUUGCAUUCCAGCGUCAUAACUUAGCUGUCACAGUCAGAGGGAGUUGGACUUCAGCAUGCUCUCCUCAAGUUAGAUACCCACUUUCUUCUUCCAUCCAACACUCAACUCACCAGACCAUGAGCAAAUAGAAAAGGAAACAAGAAUUGAAGGUACAAUGAUUACCUUCAUAUCAGCUUAGUCUAGAUACAAGCUUAUAAAAUCUACAUCUUUACAAGGUAGGAGUAAGGUCUGCAUACACUUUACCCUUCGCAGACCUCACAAUGCGGGAAUACAUAGGGUACUUUGUUGUUGUUACAUCUUUAUACCUCACAAUGUGGGAAUACAUAGGGUACUUUGUUGUUGUUACAUCUUUACCACGGAUUGGUCCACCAUUUGUCACAUUCACAUGCAACUCCAGCAAACUCAAAAUAAAAUAACUUAGUAAUA